RNAcentral lists this long non-coding RNA (382 nucleotides) under Cicer arietinum (chickpea). Its description in RNAcentral is "long non-coding RNA (CARI_LNC003128)". Lineage: Eukaryota; Viridiplantae; Streptophyta; Magnoliopsida; Fabales; Fabaceae. The record is from RNAcentral.
AAAAAUCACAUUAGUCAAAUUGAACAUUUGUUGCAAUGUUGAUAAAUAUGGAUGAUCAAGACCAGUAUCUACAUAAUAUGAUUAUGAACUAGGCUAGUCUCUACAGCAGUCACUUAUCAGAACUCAAUCUAGCGCUCAAAGUAUCAGUACAUGAAGCUAGCUAGAUUAACCAUCAAUCCACUAUUUUCAACUUGUAGCUAAAGAUAUAUAAACAAACUUGGGCUAUUUAGCAUUCAGAACAGAACAUAACAUAACAGAACAUUCUCAUCACAGGUUCAGGUUGUGCGAAAUUCAAAACAGUACAGAAUGGUUCAAAACAGGUUCAAAACAGUACAAAAUGGUGGUUCGAGAAAUUACCAGUGGUGCGAGAACAGUGAGAACG